AAAGAUCGCCUACUUAGAAGAAACACAAAAAGGAAGUUGGUGUAAGGUAGGGAAUUUUAUGUUAUUCUAUGGUGUAUCUGAUUUCUUUCCUGGAAUUAUUUGUUGGAAUUUUAUGUUAUUUCUAUGAUUUCAUAAAAUCUUUUAAAGUGUCAUUGCAUCUCGGUUUAUUGCAUUGAAAUGUUACCAUGAUGUUGGAACGUAUAUUGGAAUGAAGAUUCGUGGUUUUGUGUUGUCGAAAUGGUUUAUGGUGUGAUUGCAUUGCAAGAAGGAUAUGGAAUUAUCACAGAUCAUAUUCAGAGAAUUUAUUGGUGGCGAAGUGCUUAUGUGAUGCUACAGGCCUUAUCAUUUGAUAUAUUGUUUAUGUGGGACCGUGGGUCCUUGGGUGAAAGUCCCUAAAGCCCUCGAGGAAGACACUUCGAUGUGGGUGUAUGGGGUUGGUCCUGCCCCUGGGUUUUAGUCCCUAAAGACACGGGGUUGGUCCUGCCCCUGGGUUUUAGUCCCUAAAGACACGGGGUUGGUCCUGCCCUUGGGUAUGAGUCCCAAAAGACACGGGGUAUGACUUGCCCUUGGGUGAUGUCCCAGAAUAGUCAUUAUUAUAUUGAUCGAGUAUCUUGUGGAGCAUUGAUAUCUGCUGUGUAGAUUGUUGGGAGUCAGCAAAUUAUCAGUUGUGAAAGGAUGGAUGGGGAAAAGCAAUGAUGAAACCAACAAACACGUGCAUACAUGUUUGAUAUGAUUACACAUUUGUUAAUGGUUAUGAAAUGUUUAUCAUGCAUGUUAUUAAACGUUUAAUUCAAGGUUUUUAAGGGUAUACUUAGGAUGGUUAUAAACUUUCCUACUGAGUUGUGAACUCACCCUAUCCCUUCCACCUCUAGAUGCAGGUCAGAAGACCUAUGCAGGAAAUAAUGCUUGAGCAAUGCUUUACUGUGAUUGGAUGCUGUUUGCUCAUAUUGAAAGUCUUUUGAGGCCAUGCCUUUUGUAUCAAGACUAAACCUUUUGUUGGAAUGAUGCAAUGUAUAUAUUUGUCAGAUACACUUGUAGUAUGGGCUACCCGUAGUAAACAAUGGAGUUUGGUAUAUAUAAAUUAAUGUUGUACAAGUUUCUUUUGUGAAACAAAACAUAUUUUGUUAACUUAAUAGUCA
Molecule: long non-coding RNA, 1139 nt
Filed under: Vitis vinifera (wine grape)
Lineage: Eukaryota; Viridiplantae; Streptophyta; Magnoliopsida; Vitales; Vitaceae
Description: long non-coding RNA (VVIN_LNC007259)
Source: RNAcentral